RNAcentral lists this ribosomal RNA (464 nucleotides) under uncultured bacterium. RNAcentral describes it as "bacterial SSU rRNA". It matches the Rfam family "Bacterial small subunit ribosomal RNA", at positions 329 to 794 of the family's 1533-position model. The record is from RNAcentral.
CUCCAGACUCCUACGGGAGGCAGCAGUGGGGAAUAUUGCACAAUGGGGGGAACCCUGAUGCAGCGACGCCGCGUGGGUGAAGGAGCACCUCGGUGCGUAAAGCCCUAUCGGCAGGGAAGAAAAGCGAACAGGUUCGCCUGGACGGUACCUGACUAAGAAGCCCCGGCUAACUACGUGCCAGCAGCCGCGGCAAUACGUAGGGGGCAAGCGUUAUCCGGAUUUACUGGGUGUAAAGGGAGCGUAGACGGUUAUGCAAGUCUGAAGUGAAAGCCCAAGGCUCAACCAUGGGACUGCUUUGGAAACUGUAAAACUGGAGUGCAGGAGAGGUAAGCGGAAUUCCUAGUGUAGCGGUGAAAUGCGUAGAUAUUAGGAGGAACACCAGUGGCGAAGGCGGCUUACUGGACUGUAACUGACGUUGAGGCUCGAAGGCGUGGGGAGCAAACAGGAUUAGAUACCCGGGUAAU